This 192-nucleotide ribosomal RNA is filed under the name uncultured rumen bacterium. RNAcentral's name for it is "partial 16S ribosomal RNA". It matches the Rfam family "Bacterial small subunit ribosomal RNA", at positions 340 to 524 of the family's 1533-position model. The record is from RNAcentral.
UACGGGAGGCAGCAGUAGGGAAUCUUCCGCAAUGGGCGAAAGCCUGACGGAGCAACGCCGCGUGAGUGAUGAAGGUCUUCGGAUUGUAAAACUCUGUUGUUAGGGAAGAACAAAUUUGUUAGUAACUGAACAAGUCUUGACGGUACCUAACCAGAAAGCCACGGCUAACUACGUGCCAGCAGCCGCGGUAAU